CAAUAGCGUGUAUUAAAGUUGUUGCAGUUAAAAAGCUCGUAGUUGGAUUUCUGAUCGAGACAUCAGGUCGGGUCCGAGAGGAUCAUGUACUUUGAUUUUGUUUUGAUCAUCCUUGGGGAGAGCAUUUCUGGCAUUCAGUUGUCGGGAUUGGGAUCCUCAUCGUUUACUGUGAAAAAAUUAGAGUGUUCAAAGCAGGCCUCGGCCUCUGAAUACAUUAGCAUGGAAUAAUAAGAUAGGACUUUGGUGGUCUAUUUUGUUGGUUUGCACGCCAAAGUAAUGAUUAAUAGGGAUAGUUGGGGGUAUUCGUAUUCAAUUGUCAGAGGUGAAAUUCUUGGAUUUAUGGAAGACGAACUACUGCGAAAGCAUUUACCAAGGAUGUUUUCAUUAA
This 388-nucleotide ribosomal RNA is filed under the name uncultured eukaryote. RNAcentral's name for it is "partial 18S ribosomal RNA". It matches the Rfam family "Eukaryotic small subunit ribosomal RNA", at positions 592 to 976 of the family's 1831-position model. The record is from RNAcentral.